This 253-nucleotide ribosomal RNA is filed under the name uncultured bacterium. RNAcentral's name for it is "partial 16S ribosomal RNA". It matches the Rfam family "Bacterial small subunit ribosomal RNA", at positions 524 to 776 of the family's 1533-position model. The record is from RNAcentral.
UACGGGGGGGGCAAGCGUUGUUCGGAAGUACUGGGCGUAAAGGGCUCGUAGGCGGCCAACUAAGUCAGACGUGAAAUCCCUAGGCUCAACCUAGGAACUGCGUCUGAUACUGGAUGGCUUGAAUCCGGGAGAGGGAUGCAGAAUUCCAGGUGUAGCGGUGAAAUGCGUAGAUAUCUGGAGGAAUACCGGUGGCGAAGGCGGCAUCCUGGACCGGCAUUGACGCUGAGGAGCGAAAGCUAGGGGAGCAAACGGG